UACAGAGGUCUCAAGCGUUGUUCGGAUUCAUUGGGCGUAAAGGGUGCGUAGGUGGCGCCGUAAGUCAGGUGUGAAAUUUCGGAGCUUAACUCCGAAACUGCAUUUGAUACUGCGGUGCUUGAGGACUGGAGAGGAGACUGGAAUUCACGGUGUAGCAGUGAAAUGCGUAGAUAUCGUGAGGAAGACCAGUGGCGAAGGCGGGUCUCUGGACAGUUCCUGACACUGAGGCACGAAGGCCAGGGGAGCAAAUGGG
RNAcentral lists this ribosomal RNA (253 nucleotides) under uncultured bacterium. Its description in RNAcentral is "partial 16S ribosomal RNA". It matches the Rfam family "Bacterial small subunit ribosomal RNA", at positions 524 to 776 of the family's 1533-position model. The record is from RNAcentral.